Molecule: ribosomal RNA, 495 nt
Filed under: Akashiwo sanguinea
Lineage: Eukaryota; Dinophyceae; Gymnodiniales; Gymnodiniaceae
Description: eukaryotic LSU rRNA
Rfam family: Eukaryotic large subunit ribosomal RNA
Source: RNAcentral
GGCAUCAAUGAGUAGGAGGGCAUGGGGGCCUGUGAUGAUGCUUUUGGCGAAAGCCUGGGUGAAACAGCUUCUAGUGCAGAUCUUGGUGGUAGUAUCAAAUAUUCAAAUGAGAACUUUGAAGACUGAAGUGGAGAAGGGUUCCAUGUGAACAGCAUUUGGACAUGGGUUAGUCGAUCCUAAAAGACAGGGAUGUUCCGCACACGCAAGCUUUGCCUCGACUCUCGAAAGGGAAUGGGGUUAAUAUUCCCCAACCAGGACGUGGGAUACUGUAUGGCAACGUAAGAGAAUUCGGUGACGCAUGUGGGAGCCUUGGGAAGCGUUGUCUUUUCUUUUUUACCGCCUCUUACCCUGAAAUCAGAUUGCCUGGAGAUAGGGUUACCAUGGCGGGGGUAAAGCACCUUGUCUUCCCGAGGUGUCCGGUGCGCUCUCAAACUGUCCUUGAAAAACCCCAAAGGAAAAACUUUAUUCACACCCCCUGGUCGUACCCCAUUAACC